UCCGAGUUGACCCCGGCAGUCUCCCAUGAGUCCCCACCAUUACGUGCUGGCAACAUGGAACGAGGGUUGCGCUCGUUGCGGGACUUAACCCAACAUCUCACGACACGAGCUGACGACAGCCAUGCACCACCUGUGCACGGCCCUUACGGACCCGACAUCUCUGCCGGAUUUCCGUGCAUGUCAAGCCCAGGUAAGGUGGGGAUGACGUGCGAGAGUACGUCC
Molecule: unclassified non-coding RNA, 222 nt
Filed under: uncultured Propionibacteriaceae bacterium
Lineage: Bacteria; Bacillati; Actinomycetota; Actinomycetes; Propionibacteriales; Propionibacteriaceae
Description: contains 16S-23S intergenic spacer region
Source: RNAcentral